CAAAGACUGCCAAAUACUCUGCUUCUGCUUCUGUACUUCUUGCUUGCAACCCUAGAAAACUGCUGGUUCUAUAGUAUUCUGGGCCUGACCUCUUUGGGAAAGAUCCCAGUCAGUGUGUCAUCUGUCUCCAGCCUCUGAAAAAAAAUUAUUCACAUGAUAAUUCAGCUUUCUCCUGGAAAACUGUGACAAUUCAAAAAGAAUUUAUUGCAGAGAAUGAGAAGUCUUUACCUAAGACUUUUUGACCCACGGCAUCUGGGAAACAAUAUAAAAAUUCAAGGACAACUACACUGAGGACCAAAUUGUCAAGGCUUGAGGUAAAAGUGGAGAAACAUGGCUCGUCAGAGAUCUUCAAUUGUUUGUUCAAAUGGAAACCACCAAAUACUGGCCCAGAUAAAGAGUGACUACAUCUUGCCUCUCUUAACCUUUUGGCCUCAAUUUCACUCUCCCUCAGUUUUGG
Fukomys damarensis (Damara mole-rat) is the source of this 457-nucleotide long non-coding RNA. RefSeq lists it as uncharacterized. The record is from RefSeq and is a predicted model, not a curated record. The transcript has 3 exons. Lineage: Eukaryota; Metazoa; Chordata; Mammalia; Rodentia; Bathyergidae.